This 168-nucleotide small nuclear RNA is filed under the name Suricata suricatta (meerkat). Its description in RNAcentral is "U2 spliceosomal RNA (ENSSSUG00005019331.1)". It matches the Rfam family "U2 spliceosomal RNA". Rfam says of the family: U2 is a small nuclear RNA (snRNA) component of the spliceosome (involved in pre-mRNA splicing). Lineage: Eukaryota; Metazoa; Chordata; Mammalia; Carnivora; Herpestidae. The record is from Rfam by way of RNAcentral.
AUCGCUUCUCGGCCUUUUGGCUAAGAUCAAGUGUAGUAUCUGUUCACGUCAGCUUAAUAUCUGACGUGUCCUCUAUUGGGGGACAGUAUAUUAGGUGAAUUUUUAGAGCCGGGAGCUGGACUAGGAGCUUGCUCCGUCCACUCCAUAAAAAAAAAAAAAAUAAUAAAU